AGUUUGACCCCGGAAGUGCGGGCGCUCAGGGAGCUGUCACCGUGGUCGGCGGCGGCGGCGGCGGCGGCGGCACAGAGCCGGUGGUGGAGCCGCCGAGGCCACCUCGUGUAUGCAGAGACCAUGUGUGUCUGAUCUGCUGGGAUCCUAGAGCUGGAACAGGAGGGUCACGCAGCACAAUGCCAGCUCUGCCCCUGGACCAACUCCAGAUCACCCACAAGGACCCGAAGACAGGAAAGCUGAGGACUUCACCAGCGCUGAUUUGUACCUGUAACUCCAUGAUACAAAUUUGAUUUAAAUGGGAGGGGGUCCUGCAGACCCACAUGAGAGGUGGCCUUGAAGAAUCCUUGUGGUACCCACAGGCUCUACAGUUUGGAAACUCGCCACCCCGAGCAGAAGGCAGACCGGUAUUUUGUGUUAUACAAACCGCCCCCUAAAGACAACAUUCCCGCCCUAGUGGAGGAGUACCUGGAACGCGCCACCUUCGUAGCCAAUGACCUCGACUGGCUCCUGGCCUUGCCUCACGAUAAAUUCUGGUGCCAGGUGAUCUUUGACGAGACUCUACAGAAGUGCCUGGACUCCUACCU
This 584-nucleotide long non-coding RNA is filed under the name Homo sapiens (human). RNAcentral describes it as "HSALNT0276827". Lineage: Eukaryota; Metazoa; Chordata; Mammalia; Primates; Hominidae. The record is from RNAcentral.